RNAcentral lists this ribosomal RNA (254 nucleotides) under uncultured bacterium. RNAcentral describes it as "partial 16S ribosomal RNA". It matches the Rfam family "Bacterial small subunit ribosomal RNA", at positions 524 to 776 of the family's 1533-position model. The record is from RNAcentral.
UACGUAGGGUGCGAGCGUUGUCCGGAAUUGUUGGGCGUAAAGAGCUCGUAGGCGGUGUGUCACGUCGGCCGUGAAAACCUGGGGCUUAACUCUGGGCGUGCGGUCGAUACGGGCAUCACUAGAGUUCGGCAGGGGAGACUGGAAUUCCUGGUGUAGCGGUGAAAUGCGUAGAUAUCGGGAGGAACACCAGUGGCGAAGGCGACUAUCUGGGCUGCAACUGACGCUGAGGCGCGAAGGCUAGGGUAGCAAACAGG